Molecule: non-coding RNA, 31 nt
Filed under: Homo sapiens (human)
Lineage: Eukaryota; Metazoa; Chordata; Mammalia; Primates; Hominidae
Source: RNAcentral
UGGCAGUCAGCCCACAGUCAGAGCUUUGGGA